CUCCAAGCCCCUUGUCCCCUCUGCUCAUCCCACUGCCCCAGGAGUCUAAACACGGAGGCCUGAGACAGGGGCACAACCCCUAGAAAGGGCGUCAAAUCCACGGUGCCCGGUGAUUAACAAUGGCAGCAUCUUCGUGGAAAGGAUACAUUUAGAGGAGUCCUGAGGCUCGUACCAGAAGCUGACUCCGAAGGUUUGUUUUAAUGGAGCACAAAUCAGGGCGAACGACGUGAAAAAAGGUCCGUUUCUCCUCGAAGAUGCCACUUGUUUCUACCUCUAGGGAAAAGCCUUCCAAACUCUAGGAAAUCUGCAAGGUGAAUGGAUUCCACUGUGGCCUCAAUGCCCAUCUGAAGGCCUCAAGGCCCCCAGGAGCCCACCGAGGGCUUGGGAGCUGGUGCGAGGUCAGGACCAGGACUCGUGGCCUGGAGUGCUUUGCAAUAGGAUGAGGUGUCCCUUGGGGUCUUGUGUUUUGUCAUGGGCCACUCAGUGCUGACCACUGUUGGGGCACAUUUGGGGGGUUAGUGGAAGGAAAGCACUCUGCGCUUCUGUGGACUGGGAGCCAGUUCUGUAGUCUGGGGGUGGUAUCUAUGCAACAACGGUAGCCAAGAGGUCACUGUAUAUUCACCACAUGAGAAGAAAAACAAGAAAAAUAGUAGAUGGAAAUGAAGGAGAAAAAGACACAGGAGGAAAAGAAGCAAGUGCGAAGAGAAAGAGAAGACAGUGAGGUGAGAAACUUCGGCUGACCUUGGGACAUUUGUUCGCCUAUGCCCUUCCCUUGUCUUAGCAUGCUGUUCCUCCCUUUCCUUGUCUGGCUAACUCCAACACUACCUCUGGGCCUCUGAGAAAUCUUCCAGCCACCCCAAGACUAGGCCAGUUUCCCUAUUACAUGGUCUGACAAAGUCCCCCUCUCUUUUAGAGGCUAUGUCAACAAUGCUUAUGACUGUAAUUACAUCCCCCUGUAUGUGAUUGUUACAUGCCUGUCUCCCCUACAGACCAAAAGUUCUGAACUCGUGAGAUUCCAAAAGCCUGGGGUCCUCUUUGGC
This is a long non-coding RNA of Bos taurus (domestic cattle), 1040 nucleotides long. The record is from Ensembl. Lineage: Eukaryota; Metazoa; Chordata; Mammalia; Artiodactyla; Bovidae.